GACGAACGCUGGCGGCGUGCUUAACACAUGCAAGUCGAACGAAGAGCGAUGGAAGCUUGCUUCUAUCAAUCUUAGUGGCGAACGGGUGAGUAACGCGUAAUCAACCUGCCCUUCAGAGGGGGACAACAGUUGGAAACGACUGCUAAUACCGCAUACGAUCCAAUCUCGGCAUCGAGACUGGAUGAAAGGUGGCCUCUAUUUAUAAGCUAUCACUGAAGGAGGGGAUUGCGUCUGAUUAGCUAGUUGGAGGGGUAAAGGCCCACCAAGGCGAUGAUCAGUAGCCGGUCUGAGAGGAUGAACGGCCACAUUGGGACUGAGACACGGCCCAGACUCCUACGGGAGGCAGCAGUGGGGAAUCUUCCGCAAUGGACGAAAGUCUGACGGAGCAACGCCGCGUGAGUGAUGACGGCCUUCGGGUUGUAAAGCUCUGUUAAUCGGGACGAAUGGUUCUUGUGCAAAUAGUGCGAGG
Molecule: ribosomal RNA, 469 nt
Filed under: Veillonella atypica
Lineage: Bacteria; Bacillati; Bacillota; Negativicutes; Veillonellales; Veillonellaceae
Description: bacterial SSU rRNA
Rfam family: Bacterial small subunit ribosomal RNA
Source: RNAcentral